This 494-nucleotide ribosomal RNA is filed under the name uncultured bacterium. Its description in RNAcentral is "partial 16S ribosomal RNA". It matches the Rfam family "Bacterial small subunit ribosomal RNA", at positions 29 to 507 of the family's 1533-position model. The record is from RNAcentral.
AGUGAACGCUGGCGGCAGGCUUUACACAUGCAAGUCGAACGGCAGCGGGGUAAGGCUUGCUUCUUUGCCGUCGCGAGGCGAACGCGUGAGAAAUACACCGGAACGUCUCCAGAAUCGGGGGAUAACCACUCGAAAGGCUGACUAUUAUAGCAUAAAUUCUGAGGGAGAGAACUGGGGACCUCGUCAUAGCCUUAGCGCUUUUUGGACGGGCGAUGUCGGAUUAGCUAGUUGGCGAGGUAAAGGCACACCAAGGCGAAGAUCUGUAGCGGGUCUGAGAGGAUGAUCCGCCACACUGGGACUGAGACACGGUCCAGACUCCUACGGGAGGCAGCAGUGGGGAAUAUUGGACAAUGGGGGCAACCCUGAUCCAGCCAUGCCGCGUGUAUGAAGAAGGCCUUAGGGUUGUAAAGUACUUUUGUUAGGGAAGAAAAGCCAGAGGUGAAUAAUGGGCGAUACUGACGGUACCUAAAGAAUAAGCACCGGCUAACUACGUG